AACGUAGGAGACAAACGUUAUCCGGAGUUACUGGGCGUAAAGGGCGCGUAGGCGGCGUGUCAAGUCAGGCGUGAAAGCCCCGGGCUCAACCUGGGAACCGCGCUUGAGACUGGCAUGCUCGAGUUCGGGAGAGGAUGGUGGAAUUCCCAGUGUAGAGGUGAAAUUCGUAGAUAUUGGGAAGAACACCGAUGGCGAAGGCAGCCAUCUGGACCGACACUGACGCUGAGGCGCGAAAGCGUGGGGAGCAAACAGG
RNAcentral lists this ribosomal RNA (253 nucleotides) under uncultured bacterium. Its description in RNAcentral is "partial 16S ribosomal RNA". It matches the Rfam family "Bacterial small subunit ribosomal RNA", at positions 524 to 776 of the family's 1533-position model. The record is from RNAcentral.